RNAcentral lists this non-coding RNA (175 nucleotides) under Bacillus testis. Its description in RNAcentral is "Lysine riboswitch". It matches the Rfam family "Lysine riboswitch aptamer". From Rfam's summary of the family: Riboswitches are metabolite binding domains within certain messenger RNAs that serve as precision sensors for their corresponding targets. Allosteric rearrangement of mRNA structure is mediated by ligand binding, and this results in modulation of gene expression. Lineage: Bacteria; Bacillati; Bacillota; Bacilli; Caryophanales; Bacillaceae. The record is from RNAcentral.
UGAGGUAGAGGUUGCGGUUUUUAAGAGUACAUAGAAAGAGAGACAGAAAGCUCAUUGACGUCUAUGGAAAGGGAACACCGCCGAAGCGCUGCAUGAUUUCUGCAUGCGGAGAGCUGGGACUGUGCCAUAAUAGGGACAGGACUGUCAUGGUGAGCGAUUGCCAUGAAGAACUAUC